This 20-nucleotide small nuclear RNA is filed under the name Arabidopsis thaliana (thale cress). Its description in RNAcentral is "snRNA_19181". Lineage: Eukaryota; Viridiplantae; Streptophyta; Magnoliopsida; Brassicales; Brassicaceae. The record is from RNAcentral.
CAAAGGGUGUUGGUCGAUUA